This 466-nucleotide ribosomal RNA is filed under the name uncultured bacterium. Its description in RNAcentral is "partial 16S ribosomal RNA". It matches the Rfam family "Bacterial small subunit ribosomal RNA", at positions 28 to 507 of the family's 1533-position model. The record is from RNAcentral.
GACGAACGCUGGCGGCGUGCUUAACACAUGCAAGUCGAACGGAAAGGCCCCUGCUUUCAGGGGUGCUCGAGUGGCGAACGGGUGAGUAACACGUGGGUGAUCUGCCCUUGACUUUGGGAUAACCUCGGGAAACUGGGGCUAAUACCGGAUAGGACGUCGUGUUGCAUGGUGUGGUGGGGAGAUUUUUCGGUGUGGGGUGAGCUCGCGGCCUAUCAGCUUGUUGGUGGGGUAUUGGCUUACCAAGGCGUUGACGGGUAGCCGGCCUGAGAGGGUGUACGGCCACAUUGGGACUGAGAUACGGCCCAGACUCCUACGGGAGGCAGCAGUGGGGAAUAUUGCACAAUGGGCGGAAGCCUGAUGCAGCAACGCCGCGUGGGGGAUGACGGCCUUCGGGUUGUAAACCGCUUUCGCCAGGGACGAAGCGCGAGUGACGGUACUGGGUGAAGAAGCACCGGCUAACUACGUG